CUUGGUCAUUUAGAGGAAGUAAAAGUCGUAACAAGGUUUCCGUAGGUGAACCUGCGGAAGGAUCAUUACCAGGCCUUGGGCCGCCAGCGGGGUCCCGUCGUUCUCGCGACGACGGGCCCUCGCGGGUGCUUAGCCCUUGACUCUUACCUUGACUAUGCGCACCUUUGUUGUUCCCUCGGCAGGUCUCCUGCCGCUAGGGACCUCAUCAACCCUUUAGCAUAAGCAUAAAACGUCUGAAAACAAAUUUAAUUAUUUACAACUUUCAACAAUGGAUCUCUUGGUUCUGGCAUCGAUGAAGAACGCAGCGAAAUGCGAUAAGUAGUGUGAAUUGCAGAAUUCAGUGAAUCAUCGAAUCUUUGAACGCACAUUGCGCCCCUUGGUAUUCCAUGGGGCAUGCCUGUUCGAGCGUCAUUUACACCCUCAAGCUCAGCUUGGUGUUGGGCGUCUGUCCCGCUUCGUGCGUGGACUCGCCCCAAAGGUAUUGGCAGCGGUCCUUGCCAGCUUCUCGCGCAGCACAUUGCGCUUCUCGAGGCUGGCGGAUCGGCGUCCAUCAAGCCCACUUCCACAGUUUGACCUCGGAUCAGGUAGGGAUACCCGCUGAACUUAAGCAUAUCAAUAAGCGGAGGA
Molecule: ribosomal RNA, 627 nt
Filed under: uncultured Pleosporales
Lineage: Eukaryota; Fungi; Ascomycota; Dothideomycetes; Pleosporales
Description: eukaryotic LSU rRNA
Rfam family: 5.8S ribosomal RNA (bases 258-411)
Source: RNAcentral